RNAcentral lists this ribosomal RNA (468 nucleotides) under uncultured bacterium. RNAcentral describes it as "partial 16S ribosomal RNA". It matches the Rfam family "Bacterial small subunit ribosomal RNA", at positions 28 to 507 of the family's 1533-position model. The record is from RNAcentral.
GACGAACGCUGGCGGCGUGCUUAACACAUGCAAGUCGAACGGAAAGGCCCUGCUUUUGUGGGGUGCUCGAGUGGCGAACGGGUGAGUAACACGUGAGUAACCUGCCCUUGACUUUGGGAUAACUUCAGGAAACUGGGGCUAAUACCGGAUAGGAGCGCCUGCUGCAUGGUGGGGGUUGGAAAGUUUCGGCGGUUGGGGAUGGACUCGCGGCUUAUGAGCUUGUUGGUGGGGUAGUGGCUUACCAAGGCUUUGGCGGGUAGCCGGCCUGAGAGGGGGACCGGCAACAUUGGGACUGAGAUACGGCCCAGACUCCUACGGGAGGCAGCAGGGGGGAAUAUUGCACAAUGGGCGGAAGCCUGAUGCAGCAACGCCGCGUGCGGGAUGACGGCCUUCGGGUUGUAAACCGCUUUCGCCUGUGACGAAGCGGGAGUGACGGUAAUGGGUGAAGAAGCACCGGCUAACUACGUG